UACGAAGGGGGCUAGCGUUGUUCGGAAUUACUGGGCGUAAAGCGCACGUAGGCGGGUUGUUAAGUCAGGGGUGAAAUCCUGGAGCUCAACUCCAGAACUGCCUUUGAUACUGGCAACCUAGAGACUGGAAGAGGUUAGUGGAAUUCCCAGUGUAGAGGUGAAAUUCGUAGAUAUUGGGAAGAACACCAGUGGCGGAGGCGGCUAACUGGUCCAGCACUGACGCUGAGGUGCGAAAGCGUGGGGAGCAAACAGG
This 253-nucleotide ribosomal RNA is filed under the name uncultured bacterium. Its description in RNAcentral is "partial 16S ribosomal RNA". It matches the Rfam family "Bacterial small subunit ribosomal RNA", at positions 524 to 776 of the family's 1533-position model. The record is from RNAcentral.